AGAGUUUGAUCCUGGCUCAGAGUGAACGCUAGCGGCGUGGUUAAGACAUGCAAGUCGAACGAUGAAGCCCAGCUUGCUGGGACGAUUAGUGGCAUACGGGUGCGUAACACGUGAGCAACCUGCCUUGAAGUGGGGGAUAACCCGGGGAAACCCGGAUUAAUACCGCAUGUGGUCCUUUUCUCCCUGGAAAAGUGACUAAAGUUUGUAAUGACGCUUCAAGAGGGGCUCGCGGCCUAUCAGCUUGUUGGUGAGGUAACGGCUCACCAAGGCUAAGACGGGUAGCUGGUCUGAGAGGAUGAUCAGCCACACUGGAACUGAGAUACGGUCCAGACACCUACGGGUGGCAGCAGUUUCGAAUCAUUCACAAUGGGGGAAACCCUGAUGGUGCAACGCCGCGUGGAGGAUGACGGCCUUCGGGUUGUAAACUCCUGUCACCAAGGAACAAACGGCAGGUUCAUAGCCUGUCCUGAGUUAACUUGGAGAGGAAGAGGUGGCUAACUCCGUGCCAGCAGCCGCGGUAAUACGGAGACCUCGAGCGUUACUCGGAUUCACUGGGCGUAAAGAGUAUGUAGGCGGUUUGGUAUGUCAGGUGUGAAAUCCCGGAGCUCAACUCCGGAACUGCGCCUGAAACUACCAAACUCGAGGCCUGGAGA
This 653-nucleotide ribosomal RNA is filed under the name uncultured bacterium. RNAcentral's name for it is "bacterial SSU rRNA". It matches the Rfam family "Bacterial small subunit ribosomal RNA", at positions 8 to 655 of the family's 1533-position model. The record is from RNAcentral.